GGGCCUGUAGCUCAGCUUGGUAGAGCGGUUGGCUCUUAACCAACAUGUCAUGGGUUCGAAUCCCAUCGGGCCCG
RNAcentral lists this transfer RNA (74 nucleotides) under Microcaldota archaeon. RNAcentral's name for it is "tRNA-Lys". It matches the Rfam family "tRNA". From Rfam's summary of the family: Transfer RNA (tRNA) molecules are approximately 80 nucleotides in length. Their secondary structure includes four short double-helical elements and three loops (D, anti-codon, and T loops). The record is from RNAcentral. Lineage: Archaea; Nanobdellati; Microcaldota.